This 253-nucleotide ribosomal RNA is filed under the name uncultured bacterium. Its description in RNAcentral is "partial 16S ribosomal RNA". It matches the Rfam family "Bacterial small subunit ribosomal RNA", at positions 524 to 776 of the family's 1533-position model. The record is from RNAcentral.
UACGAAGGGUGCAAACGUUGCUCGGAAUUAUUGGGCGUAAAGCGCCCGUAGGCGGCUUUGCAAGUCGGAUGUGAAAUCCCUCGGCUCAACCAAGGAAGUGCAUCCGAAACUGCAGAGCUUGAGUACCAAAGAGGAUCGCGGAAUUCCCGGUGUAGAGGUGAAAUUCGUAGAUAUCGGGAGGAACACCAGUGGCGAAGGCGGCGAUCUGGGUGGAUACUGACGCUGAGGUGCGAAAGCGUGGGGAGCGAACAGG